Molecule: non-coding RNA, 1695 nt
Organism: Tetranychus urticae (two-spotted spider mite)
Lineage: Eukaryota; Metazoa; Arthropoda; Arachnida; Trombidiformes; Tetranychidae
Source: RefSeq, a predicted model, not a curated record
UUGUGAGUCUGUACAGUUGGGAAUCUUGUCUUCAACUUGUUUAAAGCAUUUGUUGAGACUGAGUUUUGGUUAGAAUCAAAUGGCUGUCUCAGUAGUUUCUGUUGGUUUAUAAUACAUUUAUAUAUAUUUGCCUGUCUGCUUGUUGAUUAAAAAAAAGUAUAUUUUAUAUUUCUGUUCACUCUUGUGUCUGUGUUAUUUUUCUUGUCCUCUAUUAUAACAUAACUAUUGUAACAGUUUACUCUUUUAACCAUUGGAUUUUUGCUUUACCAACUGAUAAACUAAACUUCAACUGUCUUUGUCUCUAAACUUCACUUUUUUCUGUCUUUACCAUUUUUGCCUCUCUUUCUCUUCUUUACCAGUCUCUUUCUUUUUUCUUGCUUUCCUCUCUUUUUUUUCUCUGGUUUUUGCUACUCUCUUCUCUGUCUCAACAAGAAACAACAUUUGGAUUUACUUCUUUUUACCAUCAUUUUUCUCCUAACCAUUGCUUCAACACACAAAAAACCAUGGAUAUACUUCCGUCUGUUAAUAUUUUCACUGAACUUCAAACUGUCCUUGAUACUGGAUACUUGUCACAAUAUUCAUCUUUAGAGGAUAGUUGGCAACAGACCAUACUGGAAAUGGAAAGAUAUUUGAAAGAUUUACCCUCUCUUUCACUACUGUCCUCAUCCUCAUCCUCAGUCUCCUCUUCAUCAUCAAUAUCAUCAUCCUCUUCUUCACCAACAUCACCAGCUCCAUCAUCAAUAUCUUCACCAGUUUCUUCAUCAAUUUCAUCCUCUUCAUCCUCCUCAUCGUCAUCUUCCUCUUCAUCUUCUACAUCGUCUUGUUUAUCUUCACUUUCAUCUUCGUUGUCAUUUGUAGUUUCUUCGUCAACAACCUCCAGAUCAAAAUUGUCUACAUUAUCUUCACUACCUUCAUCUCCAGCAUCAUUAACAAUUUCAACGGUUUCCUUAAUUAAUUCUUCAUCCUCUACACCAUCAGUAUCAUCAUCUUUGUCACCUUCACCAUCACCAAUUUCCUCUACUUCUUCACCAUCUUCACCAAUAUGUUCAAUUAAUUCAAAGUUAACUUGUAGUGAAGCUCGCGAAGCGGGACAACCAAUUGCUGCCAAUGAAAACAUCCCUACAAAUACCACCAACACUGCUAACAGUCUAAAUAACAUCACCAACACCAAUGUCAACCAUUCAAAUGCACCAAAUGGAGCAAAAUCCAAGGGUCGAUUUGAAAUUAACCCAGAUAACAAUAAACGUCGAAUUCAUAAGUGUCUAUACAAUGGAUGCAAGAAAGUUUACACCAAGUCUUCACAUCUUAAAGCUCAUCAAAGAACUCACACAGGAGAGAAGCCAUACAAAUGUACUUGGCCCGACUGUGAAUGGCGAUUUGCCCGAUCAGAUGAAUUGACCCGCCAUCACAGGAAACACACUGGAUGCAAGCCCUUCAAGUGUAGCCAUUGUGAGCGACGUUUCUCCCGGUCUGAUCAUCUUGCUCUUCACCAAAAAAGACAUCAAUGACAACAAGCUUAUUUUUUCAAAGCUUUUUAUUCUUUCAUAUUCACAUUCAUAAGUUGUUGCCUGUAAUAACCUGUAAAUCAAGUUGAAAAAAAGAAGAAAAAUUUCAAUUCUUUUCAUUUCAUAAUCAAAUUAAUAUUGUUUCUCAUAUAAUGAUUAGUAAAGGAUGAGAAAUUUUUGCACCAAAAAA